GCUCAACCGAGGAAGUGCUUCGAAAACUGGUAAACUUGAGUGCAGAAGAGGAAAGUGGAACUCCAUGUGUAGCGGUGGGAUGCGUAGAUAUAUGGAAGAACACCAGUGGCGAAGGCGGCUUUCUGGUCUGUAACUGACGCUGAGAUUCGAAAGCAUGGGUAGCAAACAGGAUUAGAUACCCUGGUAGUCCAUGCCGUAAACGAUGAGUGCUAAGUGUUGGAGGGUUUCCGCCCUUCAGUGCUGCAGCUAACGCAUUAAGCACUCCGCCUGGGGAGUACGACCGCAAGGUUGAAACUCAAAGGAAUUGACGGGGGCCCGCACAAGCGGUGGAGCAUGUGGUUUAAUUCGAAGCAACGCGAAGAACCUUACCAGGUCUUGACAUACCAUGAAAAGCUUAGAGAUAAGUCUUUCCCUUCGGGGACAUGGAUACAGGUGGUGCAUGGUUGUCGUCAGCUCGUGUCGUGAGAUGUUGGGUUAAGUCCCGCAACGAGCGCAACCCUUAUUAUCAGUUGCCAGCAUUCAGUUGGGCACUCUGGUGAGACUGCCGGUGACAAACCGGAGGAAGGUGGGGACGACGUCAAAUCAUCAUGCCCCUUAUGACCUGGGCUACACACGUGCUACAAUGGUCGGUACAACG
This 637-nucleotide ribosomal RNA is filed under the name uncultured bacterium. RNAcentral's name for it is "bacterial SSU rRNA". It matches the Rfam family "Bacterial small subunit ribosomal RNA", at positions 607 to 1244 of the family's 1533-position model. The record is from RNAcentral.